Molecule: long non-coding RNA, 455 nt
Filed under: Coffea arabica (coffee)
Lineage: Eukaryota; Viridiplantae; Streptophyta; Magnoliopsida; Gentianales; Rubiaceae
Description: long non-coding RNA (CARA_LNC002591)
Source: RNAcentral
AAUGCUUUGGGAGAGGCUUGAGCUCCAACUCAGGCGCCUGCACAAUAGAAGGCAACAAUUUUGCCUGAGUUUCUGGUACAAAACCAGAAGUAAGCUCAUACCUUGGAGAAAUUGGUGGGAGCGAAUGCAGUGCUCCAACAGCCCGGUAUAACUCAUCACUCAUUUCUACAUCAGGAGUCGCUCCCAACUCAAGAUGUUUGGCUAAUGCCACUGCCAGUGCAUCAACCCCAUCCAAUUCAAAUAUUUCCUGUACAAGGGGCUCGACAACACUUAAAGCAUAAACAGAGUUAGUCUCCUCUGGGUACUUCAUCGCAUAAAAAAUAUUAAAAUUUACAAUUUCCCCAUCAAACUCCAUCGACAAAGUACCCUCAUUUACAUCUAUUUUUGUCCUAGCAGUGCUUAAAAAUGGCCUACCUAACAGAAUAGGAGACGGAUUUAGUGCCCUUUCAUCCCCC